RNAcentral lists this ribosomal RNA (248 nucleotides) under uncultured bacterium. Its description in RNAcentral is "partial small subunit ribosomal RNA". It matches the Rfam family "Bacterial small subunit ribosomal RNA", at positions 26 to 285 of the family's 1533-position model. The record is from RNAcentral.
AGAAUCAACGCUGGCGGCGUGCCUAACACAUGCAAGUCGAACGAGAAAGUGGAGCAAUCCACAAGUAAAGUGGCGCACGGGUGAGUAACACGUGACUAACCUACCCUUGAGUGGGGGGAUAACCUAGAGAAAUCUGGGCUAAUACCGCAUAAUACCUUCGGGUCAAAGGAGCAAUUCGCUUAAGGAGGGGGUCGCGGCCGAUUAGUUAGUUGGCGGGGUAAUGGCCACCCCCAAGACUAUGAUCGGUA